UUAAAAAAAUGUUUUUUUAAUAAAAAAUUUAAAAAGGUGGAAUUUUUCUGGUUCCUGAUAUAAGUGAUUUUCAAUUGUAUCUUGGACAUUUUUCAUAUUAUGAGAUCCUGGAUCAUAUUGCAAUCCUCUGUUUUAGCAGGCGUCCUGUGACACCACAGCAGUGGAAGAAGGGUGGUGAUGCUUUAUCACUGGCAGAUGGUACAGAAGUUCAGAUUCCCCACUUGGCCUCCACUGAACCUUGAGAUUGGAAGCAGAAGAGCAUCUCGCUGUUGCUGGGUGCAGUGUGGACGAAGGGUUGCAGAUACAUGAGAAGUGGUGAAGCAGAUGAAGAGGAAUGGGGCAUAACGUGUGUCCCAAGAAGAGGCAACACCGUGUUUGGAAGCUCAGAAGUCAAGGAGAAUGCGGUGCAUUCAAGAAACCAGCUGGUUCUCACACAACACAAUGCUGAAGUGCAAGCUUUGACUUUAAGGGACUUCUUUGGCUGAGAGAGGAAAUGAAAAGAUGUAACAUUGAAGAGAGCGGAGUAUUCUACGGAAGCAGGUGUGAGGCACUACCCAAGCAAAGACAAGAAUGAGGAGCCAGAGAAUUGAGAAGGAAGGCUGGAAUGAGCUCCAGGACGUCAAACAUAGAAGGAUGGGGGUCCUCCUGAUAACUGACUUCCCUCAAGUUUUUAUCUCCUGGACUUGUCCAUGCUGAGCCUCUCGUAAUUCAUCAAUGACAGUUCAGCUUUCCCUACCCUGACACUGAUUUCCCAUGGAGGUUUCUGCUUUGGUAAGUCCUCUGUAUCUACCUGUCAUUCUCUCCAAUUUGGGGAUGAAGCAUAGAGUGCCUAUAUGAGCAGUCCCCCAGAAAAAUCUGUGCUAAUGAGCUUUCUUGGGAGACAACAUCUUACAUGCGUUGUCACAACUCAUUACUGGAAGAAUUAAACAUGUCCUGUGUGACUGUACUAGAAGAUUCUUGAAAGCUCACCAGUCUGCCCAGUGACUUCCCUUCUCUAAGGAAUCUAAAGAGAAUUGUUGAUUUUUUAGUUUGCUCAGCUUUUCAGUUUUUAUUGGGAUGGAGUGAGCAUUUCCACGCUUCCUAGAAACAGUACUGGACAGCAGAAGUUCUCAAGCAUCUUUUAGAAAUGAGAAAUACUGAGACUAAAACCUGUUCCUUUUCUUCCUCUGUCUGUAGAUUUAUAGCAGCUAUAAUCACCAGUGCAAGAAUUGAUUCAUAGAGGAAUCUGUAUGUAGUAAGAUAAUCUUGAUGUAAAACAUAUUUGAGGCAUGUUAGAUGCUAGGAUUUGAGACAUUACAAUGUAAUAGUAAACUGUAUGACUUCUGGAGGCAAAUAUACUGUGAUACUGGCUCUUGCCAUAUAUGAUCUGUAGGGUCCUGAGCAAGAUAUUAAUGUAUUUGAGUUUCAGUUUUACAUCUUUUAUUUAUUUAUUUUUUUAAUGUUUUAUUUAUUCUUGAGAGAGAGAG
This is a long non-coding RNA of Felis catus (domestic cat), 1466 nucleotides long. RefSeq lists it as uncharacterized. Lineage: Eukaryota; Metazoa; Chordata; Mammalia; Carnivora; Felidae. The transcript is spliced from 4 exons. The record is from RefSeq and is a predicted model, not a curated record.